GGACGUUCCAAAACGUCCUGUGUGUGCAAGAUGCUGAUUGUGAACAGUUUGCUCCAGCAGGGGGCGACUUCACGGUGCUCCUUCCAGUCAAACUGGACGCCACGGACAGAUUAAUGUGGAAACGUAACGGUGAAAACAUAUUCAGAAGACAUGGAGAGUUGAUGAUCUUAGGGAAGGUUGAGGACGUCUCUGAGGACGGAUCUCUGAGGCUGAGGCAGGUGACAAAGAAAAUGGAGGGGACUUACGAGGCCGAGGUCUACACUCGAGACGGGAUAUCACGCGGGACGUUCCAAAACGUCCUGUGUGUGCAAGUUCAGCUUCACUCGGUAGAAUGAGGAAGAAACGACAGUCCCAUAACAAAGAGAGUCCAUACAUGGGAGAAGCCCAGCGCCACACUGCCUCCUGCUGGCAACACUAAAGUGUACUGUUAUCUGGCUAUUAUAGCACAUAUUAGUGAUGAUCUU
Molecule: non-coding RNA, 464 nt
Organism: Labrus bergylta (ballan wrasse)
Lineage: Eukaryota; Metazoa; Chordata; Actinopteri; Labriformes; Labridae
Source: RefSeq, a predicted model, not a curated record